CAGUAGCCGCGGUAAUGCGUAGGUGGCAAGCGUUGUCCGGAAUUAUUGGGCGUAAAGGGCUCGCAGGCGGUUUCUUAAGUCUGAUGUGAAAGCCCCCGGCUCAACCGGGGAGGGUCAUUGGAAACUGGGAAACUUGAGUGCAGAGGAGGAGAGUGGAAUUCCACGUGUAGCGGUGAAAUGCGUAGAGAUGUGGAGGAACACCAGUGGCGAAGGCGACUCUCUGGUCUGUAACUGACGCUGAGGAGCGAAAGCGUGGGGAGCGAACAGGAUUAGAUACCCCUGUAGUCCCUGUCUCUUAUAC
Molecule: ribosomal RNA, 301 nt
Filed under: uncultured bacterium
Lineage: Bacteria
Description: partial 16S ribosomal RNA
Rfam family: Bacterial small subunit ribosomal RNA
Source: RNAcentral